GUAGUCCACGCCGUAAACGAUGAGUGCUAGGUGUUGGGGGGUACCACCCUCAGUGCCGAAGCUAACGCAUUAAGCACUCCGCCUGGGGAGUACGGUCGCAAGACUGAAACUCAAAGGAAUUGACGGGGGCCCGCACAAGCAGUGGAGCAUGUGGUUUAAUUCGAAGCAACGCGAAGAACCUUACCAAGACUUGACAUCCCGCUGACCGCUCUAGAGAUAGAGUUUCCCUUCGGGGCAGCGGUGACAGGUGGUGCAUGGUUGUCGUCAGCUCGUGUCGUGAGAUGUUGGGUUAAGUCCCGCAACGAGCGCAACCCCUAUGUUGUGUUGCCAUCAUUUAGUUGGGCACUUACAACAGACUGCCGGUGACAAACCGGAGGAAGGCGGGGAUGACGUCAAAUCAUCAUGCCCCUUAUGUCUUGGGCUACACACGUGCUACAAUGGGCGGUACAAAGAGAAGCGAGACCGCGAGGUGGAGCCAAUCUCAUAAAGCCGUUCGUAGUUCGGAUUGCAGGCUGCAACUCGCCUGCAUGAAGCCGGAAUUGCUAGUAAUCGCGGAUCAGCAUGCCGCGGUGAAUA
This 576-nucleotide ribosomal RNA is filed under the name uncultured Alicyclobacillaceae bacterium. RNAcentral's name for it is "bacterial SSU rRNA". It matches the Rfam family "Bacterial small subunit ribosomal RNA", at positions 790 to 1368 of the family's 1533-position model. Lineage: Bacteria; Bacillati; Bacillota; Bacilli; Caryophanales; Alicyclobacillaceae. The record is from RNAcentral.